UGCCACAGCUAAAUCACCCUGCAGUUUAAGACCGGUUACUCACUAAAGCUAUAAGCUGGGCUGAGCCUGGUCAGUACCUGGAUGGGAGACCACAUGGGAAAACUAGGUUGCUGUUGAAA
This is a ribosomal RNA of Danio rerio (zebrafish), 119 nucleotides long. The record is from Ensembl. NCBI's taxonomy places the organism in Eukaryota, Metazoa, Chordata, Actinopteri, Cypriniformes, Danionidae.